GAUGAACGCUGGCGGCGUGCCUAAUACAUGCAAGUCGAGCGAACAGACGAGGAGCUUGCUCCUCUGACGUUAGCGGCGGACGGGUGAGUAACACGUGGAUAACCUACCUAUAAGACUGGGAUAACUUCGGGAAACCGGAGCUAAUACCGGAUAAUAUAUUGAACCGCAUGGUUCAAUAGUGAAAGACGGUUUUGCUGUCACUUAUAGAUGGAUCCGCGCCGCAUUAGCUAGUUGGUAAGGUAACGGCUUACCACGGCGACGAUGCGUAGCCGACCGGAGAGGGGGAUCGCCCACACUGGAACGGAGACACGGUCCAGACUCCCACGGGAGGCAGCAGUAGGGAAUCUUCCGCAAUGGGCGAAAGCCUGACGGAGCAACGCCGCGUGAGUGAUGAAGGUCUUCGGAUCGUAAAACUCUGUUAUUAGGGAAGAACAAAUGUGUAAGUAACUAUGCACGUCUUGACGGUACCUAAUCAGAAAGCCACGGCUAACUACGUG
Molecule: ribosomal RNA, 497 nt
Filed under: uncultured bacterium
Lineage: Bacteria
Description: partial 16S ribosomal RNA
Rfam family: Bacterial small subunit ribosomal RNA
Source: RNAcentral